Molecule: unclassified non-coding RNA, 490 nt
Filed under: Hevea brasiliensis (rubber tree)
Lineage: Eukaryota; Viridiplantae; Streptophyta; Magnoliopsida; Malpighiales; Euphorbiaceae
Source: RNAcentral
GGAACUUGUUCAUUCACUUGCAGAAGGCUGGAAAUUGAACACAGCAUCCACGCAGUACAACAACAGGCAAAUACAACACACUAUUGUUACACAAUGAGAAGUACAAAUCGGCAAAGGAUGCACAUAGGCAUUUAUUAUGGUUCAGCUCAGAUUUGAAGUCUAGUAUGCCUUUAAUAUAUUUCAUGUUGGCAGUAUACAAAGUAAACUACUACUGAGCAUCAUCUGGAAUCAGUACAACUGAUCCAGAUGUUUUCCUGCUCUCAAGGUCGGUAUGUGCUUGUGCCGCCUGAGACAGGGGAUAAGUAUGAUUCACACGGACGCGUAAGACACCUGAUGCCACAUUAGCAAAUACCUCUCCGGCAGUUUCUAGUAGUUCAUCCCUCGUCAUUGUGUAGUGCAUCAUGCUAGGCCUUGUCAGAAAUAGCGAUUUCACUGCAAGAGCUGAUAAAGGUACUGGAUCUGGUGAGCCAGAUGACUGCCCAAAACUCAC